GCCCACUUGGCGGAAUGGUAGACGCAAGGGACUUAAAAUCCCUCGUCCGAUAAGGACGUCCCGGUUCGAGUCCGGGAGUGGGCACCA
RNAcentral lists this transfer RNA (87 nucleotides) under Alphaproteobacteria bacterium. RNAcentral describes it as "tRNA-Leu". It matches the Rfam family "tRNA". Rfam says of the family: Transfer RNA (tRNA) molecules are approximately 80 nucleotides in length. Their secondary structure includes four short double-helical elements and three loops (D, anti-codon, and T loops). Lineage: Bacteria; Pseudomonadati; Pseudomonadota; Alphaproteobacteria. The record is from RNAcentral.